Molecule: ribosomal RNA, 450 nt
Filed under: uncultured bacterium
Lineage: Bacteria
Description: bacterial SSU rRNA
Rfam family: Bacterial small subunit ribosomal RNA
Source: RNAcentral
AACGAACGCUGGCGGCAUGCCUAACACAUGCAAGUCGAACGAAGCCUUCGGGCUUAGUGGCGCACGGGUGCGUAACACGUGGGAAUCUGCCCUUCGGUUCGGAAUAACAGUUAGAAAUGACUGCUAAUACCGGAUGAUGACGAAAGUCCAAAGAUUUAUCGCCGAAGGAUGAGCCCGCGUAGGAUUAGGUAGUUGGUAGGGUAAUGGCCUACCAAGCCGACGAUCCUUAGCUGGUCUGAGAGGAUGAUCAGCCACACUGGGACUGAGACACGGCCCAGACUCCUACGGGAGGCAGCAGUGGGGAAUAUUGGACAAUGGGCGAAAGCCUGAUCCCAGCAAUGCCGCGUGAGUGAUGAAGGCCUUAGGGUUGUAAAGCUCUUUUACCAGGGAUGAUAAUGACAGUACCUGGAGAAUAAGCUCCGGCUAACUCGUGCCAGCAGCCGCGGUAAU